UGGGGAAUCUUCCGCAAUGGACGAAAGUCUGACGGAGCAACGCCGCGUGAGUGAAGAAGGUUUUCGGAUCGUAAAACUCUGUCUUUUGGGGCGAACGUGAGUAUGGUGAACAAUCAUAGUCAGUGACGGUACCAAAGGAGGAAGCCACGGCUAACUACGUGCCAGCAGCCGCGGUAAUACGUAGGUGGCAAGCGUUGUCCGGAAUUAUUGGGCGUAAAGAGCGCGUAGGCGGGAUAGUCAGUCUGUUGUAAAAGUGCGGGGCUCAACCCCGUGAUGGCAAUGGAAACAGCUAUUCUUGAGUGCAGGAGAGGAAAGUGGAAUUCCCAGUGUAGCGGUGAAAUGCGUAGAUAUUGGGAGGAACACCAGUGGCGAAGGCGACUUUCUGGACUGUGUCUGACGCUGAGGCGCGAAAGCCAGGGGGAGCGAACGGGAUUAGAUACCCCGGUAGUCCUGGCCGUAAACGAUGGGUACUAGGUGUGGGAGGUAUCGACCCCCUUCCGUGCCGGAGUUAACGCAAUAAGUACCCCCGCCUGGGGAGUACGGUCGCAAGACUGAAACUCAAAUGAAUUGACGGGGGUCAUAGCUGUUUCCUG
RNAcentral lists this ribosomal RNA (593 nucleotides) under uncultured bacterium. Its description in RNAcentral is "partial 16S ribosomal RNA". It matches the Rfam family "Bacterial small subunit ribosomal RNA", at positions 355 to 941 of the family's 1533-position model. The record is from RNAcentral.